AUCUUCCACAAUGGGCGAAAGCCUGAUGGAGCAACGCCGCGUGAGUGAUGAAGGUUUUCGGAUCGUAAAACUCUGUUGUUAGGGAAGAACAACCGGAAGAGGAUUCCGGCCUGACGGUACCUAAUUAGAACGCCCCGGCUAACUACGUGCCAGCAGCCGCGGUAAUACGUAGGGGGCAAGCGUUGUCCGGAAUUAUUGGGCGUAAAGCGCGCGCAGGCGGCCUAUUAAGUCUGAUGUGAAAGCCCACGGCUCAACCGUGGAGGGCCAUUGGAAACUGGUAGGCUUGAGUGCAGGAGAGGAGAGCGGAAUUCCUGGUGUAGCGGUGAAAUGCGUAGAUAUCAGGAGGAACACCCGUGGCGAAGGCGGCUCUCUGGCCUGUAACUGACGCUGAGGCGCGAAAGCGUGGGGAGCAAACAGG
Molecule: ribosomal RNA, 418 nt
Filed under: uncultured bacterium
Lineage: Bacteria
Description: bacterial SSU rRNA
Rfam family: Bacterial small subunit ribosomal RNA
Source: RNAcentral